This 364-nucleotide long non-coding RNA is filed under the name Dermacentor andersoni. RNAcentral describes it as "uncharacterized LOC126525481". Lineage: Eukaryota; Metazoa; Arthropoda; Arachnida; Ixodida; Ixodidae. The record is from RNAcentral.
AUGGUGAGUUGUUUUCUUGUGCCCAUGCAGUUAGUCAGCAUGAAGAAAUUGCAUGGGAACCGGCUGAUUGUCUUGGGCCUACACAUUGCUCAAAAGACAGGGAAGAUGUCUGAGCCGACAGGUAGAAAACAAGCAGAUGGCUACAGCGAUCAAUGAAGAAAUGGCUUCAUCUAUGAUGGCUCGCCUUAGGACAUUGGAAUGGAGCUACACAAAGGCAUCCCCAGCCUCGCCUGUGCCCUGGAACAUUGGUUUGAAUAAGACUGUUCUUCAGUGUAGAACGACCACAAGACUUGUCACCACAUACAAGGCGUAGUGCAAGCUAUAAAUAUUGUACACGUGGCUAGAAUAAAUGACCCUCCAUGCA